GAGCCAGACUCCUACGGGAGGCAGCAGUGGGGAAUCUUCCGCAAUGGGCGAAAGCCUGACGGAGCAACGCCGCGUGAUCGAAUGAAGGCCUUCGGGUUGUAAAGAUCUGUUGACAGGGACGAAUAAGCAAUGCGAAUAGUUUUGUGUAUGACGGUACCUGUUUAGAAAGCUCCGGCUAACUACGUGCCAGCAGCCGCGGUAAUACGUAGGGAGCAAGCGUUGUCCGGAAUUACUGGGCGUAAAGGGAGCGUAGGGGGCCUGCCAAGGCUGAUGUGAAAUACCGGGGCUCAACCCCGGGGCUGCAUUGGAAACUGGCAGGCUGGAGUGCCGGAGAGGCAGGCGGAAUUCCUAGUGUAGCGGUGAAAUGCGUAGAUAUUAGGAGGAACACCAGUGGCGAAGGCGACUUACUGGACUGUAACUGACGUUGAGGCACGAAAGUGUGGGGAGCAAACAGGAUUAGAUACCCGAGUAC
This 472-nucleotide ribosomal RNA is filed under the name uncultured bacterium. RNAcentral's name for it is "bacterial SSU rRNA". It matches the Rfam family "Bacterial small subunit ribosomal RNA", at positions 328 to 793 of the family's 1533-position model. The record is from RNAcentral.